Molecule: ribosomal RNA, 253 nt
Filed under: uncultured bacterium
Lineage: Bacteria
Description: partial 16S ribosomal RNA
Rfam family: Bacterial small subunit ribosomal RNA
Source: RNAcentral
UACGGAGGGUGCAAGCGUUGUCCGGAUUUAUUGGGUUUAAAGGGUGCGUAGGCGGUUCUUUAAGUCAGUGGUGAAAUACUGCAGCUCAACUGUAGCAUUGCCAUUGAUACUGAAGAACUUGAGUACAGAUGAGGUAGGCGGAAUUUAUGGUGUAGCGGUGAAAUGCAUAGAUACCAUAAAGAACACCGAUUGCGAAGGCAGCUUACUAAGCUGUAACUGACGCUGAGGCACGAAAGCGUGGGGAGCGAACAGG